Molecule: ribosomal RNA, 253 nt
Filed under: uncultured bacterium
Lineage: Bacteria
Description: partial 16S ribosomal RNA
Rfam family: Bacterial small subunit ribosomal RNA
Source: RNAcentral
UACGGAGGGUGCGAGCGUUGUCCGGAAUCACUGGGCGUAAAGGGCGCGUAGGCGGCCUGAUAAGUAGGGGGUGAAAUCCUGAGGCUUAACCUCAGGGCUGCCUUCUAAACUGUCGGGCUCGAGCACAGUAGAGGCAGGUGGAAUUCCCGGUGUAGCGGUGGAAUGCGUAGAGAUCGGGAAGAACAUCAGUGGCGAAGGCGGCCUGCUGGGCUGUUGCUGACGCUGAGGCGCGACAGCGUGGGGAGCAAACAGG